Long non-coding RNA from Poecilia latipinna (sailfin molly), 648 nucleotides. RefSeq lists it as uncharacterized. Lineage: Eukaryota; Metazoa; Chordata; Actinopteri; Cyprinodontiformes; Poeciliidae. The record is from RefSeq and is a predicted model, not a curated record. The transcript is spliced from 3 exons.
AAGUGAGGAUGAACACCCGAGGUAUUGAGUUUCCUGUAUCCAUCAUUUUGGACGAGUUGGGAGCUUGGAAUAGCCCCAGCAGCGUCUGUGUUAGCCAGCCGUAACUGACAUUGAGUGCAUUGUUUGCAGUGGGAAGCUCACGGCUGUGGCCUAAAGAGGGCUGUUUCCUCUGUGAGCUCGGCCAGAAGAUAAGAGAAAUGACUAAGGGCAGGAGACAAGCUAAUGGGGGAAGAGCUUUCCCAUGGCCAACCAAACUACUAGCAGCUGGCCAUCUGCAAAAACACUACAAAAGAGCAGUGAGCGACUGGAGCAAGCGUGGACAUUUUGAAAAUCCAGCUUCACUCUCUGAUGUGCACAGAGGAAUUUUAAGCCUUAGAUCCGUGACAAAUGCAAUUAUCCUUCUCCUCAUAUCCGUGUUUCCAGUUGAAAGUUCAGAUCAGAUUUUGGACUUUUGUUUGCUGCUGCAAAAAAAGGGUUUCGUUUAUUAACCUCUCUUUGAAUCUCUGUGUUCACCUAGCUCACCUCUGUCAGGCUCAUGAUGCUAUGUCUCUUCUUGUUUUCAUGAUGUUUUUUUUUUUUUUUUUUUUAUCGGAUUUCCCUCUGAUUAUUUUGCCCUUGUGACCAAGUGUUGAAUUAAAUGCCUAAUUU